RNAcentral lists this ribosomal RNA (253 nucleotides) under uncultured bacterium. RNAcentral's name for it is "partial 16S ribosomal RNA". It matches the Rfam family "Bacterial small subunit ribosomal RNA", at positions 524 to 776 of the family's 1533-position model. The record is from RNAcentral.
UACGUAGGGUGCGAGCGUUGUCCGGAAUUAUUGGGCGUAAAGGGCUCGUAGGCGGUCUGUCACGUCGGGAGUGAAAACUCGGGGCUUAACCCCGAGCCUGCUUCUGAUACGGGCAGACUAGAGGUAUGCAGGGGAGAAUGGAAUUCCUGGUGUAGCGGUGAAAUGCGCAGAUAUCAGGAGGAACACCGGUGGCGAAGGCAGUUCUCUGGGCAUGACCUGACGCUGAGGAGCGAAAGUGUGGGGAGCGAACAGG